GUGCCAGCAGCCGCGGUAAUACGUAGGGUGCAAGCGUUGUCCCGGAAUUACUGGGCGUAAAGAGCUCGUAGGUGGUUUGUCGCGUCGUCUGUGAAAUCCCGGGGCUUAACUUCGGGCGUGCAGGCGAUACGGGCAUAACUUGAGUGCUGUAGGGGAGACUGGAAUUCCUGGUGUAGCGGUGAAAUGCGCAGAUAUCAGGAGGAACACCGAUGGCGAAGGCAGGUCUCUGGGCAGUAACUGACGCUGAGGAGCGAAAGCAUGGGUAGCGAACAGGAUUAGAUACCCUGGUAGUCC
RNAcentral lists this ribosomal RNA (294 nucleotides) under uncultured microorganism. RNAcentral describes it as "partial 16S ribosomal RNA". It matches the Rfam family "Bacterial small subunit ribosomal RNA", at positions 505 to 796 of the family's 1533-position model. The record is from RNAcentral.